This 573-nucleotide non-coding RNA is filed under the name Pan troglodytes (chimpanzee). Lineage: Eukaryota; Metazoa; Chordata; Mammalia; Primates; Hominidae. The record is from RNAcentral.
UUUUUUUUAUCAGUCAGAGGAUAAUGCAAGUGUUUAACAGAUGCUUCACUAUUAAAAUAUUUCCCCCCCAAGUCUCAAAUAUUGAAGAAUCUCUAACCAGGGACACCAGUCCCUACGAAGACCUUGGGCGAUUUUGAAGUGCGGGCACCUCGAUUCCCCGAAUCUGUAGUGUGGCUGGUAUCGGUGUUCCCCUGGUUUAACUAGCCUGUUUGGCACAACAAAUGAGACCCAAGUGCUCAUAGAACAUUCCAAAGAGUCAACAGAGAGAAGUGGAAAGUAUUAGAAACAUGAUUGUGUUUGCAAAGGGAGACAUAAACAUGGGGAAAUUGAGGCAGAGAAGCCAAGACAUGCGCUAAAGGUCCAUGCAGGCUAUGAAUGGAGCUGGAAUGUAAACGCAGGCCAUGUGACUCCAGAGCCCAUGUUCUUGAACCCUUAGAAAGACAGCAGCAACACACCUGGUGCAGCAGCUGCUUAGUUGGAGUGGCUGACAAGAGAUCCUGGCAAAUGGGUGUUUCUUCUCAGAAAGGGAUUUUUCUCCAUGACUGCAGUUGAAUUACAAAGUUGUAGAGACAU